This 418-nucleotide ribosomal RNA is filed under the name uncultured bacterium. RNAcentral's name for it is "bacterial SSU rRNA". It matches the Rfam family "Bacterial small subunit ribosomal RNA", at positions 356 to 773 of the family's 1533-position model. The record is from RNAcentral.
AGGGAAUAUUGGUCAAUGGACGGAAGUCUGAACCAGCCAUGCCGCGUGCAGGAUGACGGCCCUCUGGGUUGUAAACUGCUUUUAUACGGGAAGAAACCCCUUCGGUUGGAGGGCUGACGGUACCGUAAGAAUAAGGAUCGGCUAACUACGUGCCAGCAGCCGCGGUAAUACGUAGGAUCCAAGCGUUGUCCGGAUUUAUUGGGUUUAAAGGGUGCGCAGGCGGCCAGAUAAGUCAGUGGUGAAAGCCUACCGCUUAACGGUAGAAUUGCCAUUGAUACUGUUUGGCUUGAGUAUAGUUGAGGUUGGCGGAAUGUAUCAUGUAGCGGUGAAAUGCAUAGAUAUGAUACAGAACACCGAUUGCGAAGGCAGCUGACUAAGCUAUUACUGACGCUCAUGCACGAAAGCGUGGGGAUCAAAC